Long non-coding RNA from Eurytemora carolleeae, 214 nucleotides. RefSeq lists it as uncharacterized. The transcript is spliced from 3 exons. NCBI's taxonomy places the organism in Eukaryota, Metazoa, Arthropoda, Copepoda, Calanoida, Temoridae. The record is from RefSeq and is a predicted model, not a curated record.
UGGGUGAUAAUCUGGUAACGGAUUUAUUUUUAAGGAAACCUCUGGUAGGCGUUACUCAAUAGAAUCAUUGGUUGAUAAUCAACCUUGUGGACUCAUUCAAUCACGAUCUAAUAUUGAUGUUGAUGAUGUCACGUUUUUUCAAGAUGGAUCAGGUCGUGUUCUGCAAUAUGGUGGGAGCACUGUACUUAUACAUAAGCUUGAUUUAUUAUCCAGG